This 66-nucleotide transfer RNA is filed under the name Caudoviricetes sp. RNAcentral describes it as "tRNA-Asn". It matches the Rfam family "tRNA". From Rfam's summary of the family: Transfer RNA (tRNA) molecules are approximately 80 nucleotides in length. Their secondary structure includes four short double-helical elements and three loops (D, anti-codon, and T loops). The record is from RNAcentral. Lineage: Duplodnaviria; Heunggongvirae; Uroviricota; Caudoviricetes.
UAGUUCAGUUGGUAGAACGUUUGACUGUUAAUCAGAAAGUCGCAGGUUCGAGUCCUGCCCCCGCCA